This 1672-nucleotide long non-coding RNA is filed under the name Malus domestica (apple). RNAcentral's name for it is "long non-coding RNA (MDOM_LNC020511)". Lineage: Eukaryota; Viridiplantae; Streptophyta; Magnoliopsida; Rosales; Rosaceae. The record is from RNAcentral.
CAAUCAAACGGUUAAGCAAAUUGAAUUAACAACUUAUGAAAUAACAACUGAAGGUAAUCAAUUCAUAAUGCAAAUAUAAUCAUGGUUUUGAAUAGCCCCCUAGCCAAGAAGGGCUUAGUUCCUCAUGUCCACAAAACAAAGAUACAUAAAUUUAGACAUUAAAAACAAAGAAUGAAAACACCUAGAAACGCUCCAACAAUCCAACGUCUUGAAUGGCAAGCACGUCCAAGGGUCUCCUUCCUUCUUCUUUGUUGCGGCACAAGGGAUGGGUGAAGGUUUUUGUGGUGAUUUGUGGUGGUGAAUGGAUAUAGGUUGGUUAUGGUGAAGGGUGGAGUGGUGGAUGGUCAGAAAAGAGAAGAGAAGAGAAGAGAGCCCCAGAGUUUGCGGCAAAAGGGUUUUAUAUAGGGCUAGGGCACGGUUUUUAUGAGUUUUAGGGAAAGAAAUAACUUAGCUAUUUUGUCCUAUAAUUAAAAGUCAGAAAUCAAUAGAAAAUAGGCAAGUAAGGUGUAGGAAUUAAAGAGAAAAGGAAGGGAAAUUCGGCAAAGAUUGUAGGGCAGAUUUAGGAAAGUGUUUUGGGUCAGAAAAUAGGCAAGAAAGGAUGUAAGGUGCGUCAUAGGUUAAGGGAAAAAGGGAAAGGAGUUUUUGGUUCAGAAAUUAGGCAAGGAGGGAAGGUAGGGUGUGGCAAUGAGAAGAAAUAAAAGAGGAAUGUGGUUUUAAGGCAGAAAAUAGGAAAUGAAGCUCUCCCUUGUGCAGCAAGGAAGGGGAUUCACCUAGGGUGGUGCGGCAAUGUCUAGGGCAGGUUCUAGGACUUCUAGAAACAUGUAAUUAGGCAACCUAACAUGUUUUGAAACCCUUUUGUGGCUGGAACAUAGGUGAGGGAGGAUUAGGAAACUUCCAAGCCAAGAAUAGAAACUUUCAAGAAUGGAAACCUCCAAGAAUAGAAACUUUGGUUUCCAAUUAUGAACUCUUUGUUCUUCAUUUUCAUUUAUUCAUUUCAUUAUUCAUUCCUAGCCUCCUUUGAUCUUCAAUUUCAUCCAUCCACCUUGCUCCAAGCAUAAGCUAUCCAUUCCAUGCCCAAAACUGCUCCAAAAGGCUCCAAAAUGCACAUGUUUGCAUACUUUGUCCUUAAAACCUGAAACUGCACGAAAAUAGCUUAAAAUACUAAAAUUACUAAGUACUAGCAACGUAAAUGCAAGGAAACAAGCUAAUUAAGUCGCAUGAAUAUGCUCCUAUCAAGUUCUCCUAGAUACAUAUUGAUAUUCGCAAGUUGGUUAUUUGAGUCUUCUACUUCUUGAGAAAUUUUUAUCCAUCUCUUCCACUUUCUUGAAAAGAUGAUGAAGGAUUAUUUUGUGAAAACAUGUUCAUUUGAAUAACAUCUAUAGCAUGCAUUUAACAAUUAAAAGGCGGAAUCAUGCUUGCAUGCAUUCAAAAACAAAACAUUACCCAUGAAAUUCAAAGCCUAGUAGAUUGGUGAACCAAGACUCAAUUCAAAUCAAAGUGAGUUGAGAAAUAUAUACCUUUGUAGAUUCCUCUUUGCAUAAGCAAAGGCUAAUCACCCAAAGAGAGGGCCUUCAUUCCUUGCUUCUUAGAUCCAUGGAUUUGGAUGGAAGAAUAUGGUUCUCUAAGUUCCCAAAAUUGAGAACCUCUAAGUAUCCACACCAAGGUAAGAUUG